GGCUCUGGCUUCGCGCCCGGCCUCCUGCUCGCCUCUCCCUCCGCGCCGGCCCCGAAAGGGCGGGCGUCCAGCGCGCGGGCAGCUGCGCCCUUCUUCCCUACGGGGCCCAUCCACCUGGGACCCCGGUCCGGGGCCCAGGACGCAGGAGCUCCGCGCGCCCACAGGUGCCCUCCCCGCAGAGUCUUUUGGCCGCUCCCCUCCGCCCGGCUCCGGCCUGCAUCGCGGUCAUCGCUGAGAGCCGCGCACGAGGGGACGGGAUGCCAGUGUGACGGGCGUGUGGCAUGGCCGGAGACGCGUCUAACCCUGAUCCUGCGUCCGUCACUCGCCCAACGGACACUGUGGAACAGCGAAGGAUAAGACCUCAGCACCUGCCCUCUCAGAGCUAGCUUAUCAUUGAGCUGGGAAGACUCGAUCUAUUGUGGAGCAUCGCCCGAAAGUGGGGAGUCUGCGUCUUAAAUACGCCAGGAUGGAUUUAGCGAUUGGGACGGAGCAUGGAUACGGUCCUUGGCACUGUACCAGGUAGACACCAGUGAUGCACAGAUGUCAGCCCUGGCCUGCACGCUGCCGACAUUCUACUGGGGGAGCUAGACAAGCGCCACUUCCACUGAGAGGACACCUGGUUUCUCCAGCUACAAACAGUGGAACAGCCAACAGCAGCUGUGCAGGAAGGAGAACCAGAGCACAUGGCUGAAAACACGCUGUGGGGUCUUGGGUGACUGUGGGUGUGGGCAGGGAGGACUGGGUUCACGCGAGGACAGGAAAUCCUAUGUUAAUAACUCUAACUCCUCAAUCUACAGGAGAGGCAAAUCCCUGGCAGAAGAACCAGAACCCAGGGACUCUGCCCGAUUUGACUGUUGCUUUAUUUCUGUACCCAUGUUGCUAUCUAAAGGCAGGGAACUGAUACUCGUUCAUUUCUCUCUCUCACCCAACCUUCCACUCAAAAAGAGCCUUGUGUAGAAGGACGGAAUGGGGUGGGAGGUGGGAGGUUCAAGUGAGAGUGAACAUAUAUAUACUUAUGGCUGAUUCAUGCUGAUGAAUAUGACGGAAACCAACACGAUAUUGUAAAGAAAUUAUCCUGCAAUUUAAAAUGAAUUUUAAAGAGCCUUUUGCAGGCUUAUUCAGAUGUUUGAAAAUCACCUGCU
RNAcentral lists this long non-coding RNA (1142 nucleotides) under Capra hircus (goat). Its description in RNAcentral is "lncRNA (ENSCHIG00010005119.1)". Lineage: Eukaryota; Metazoa; Chordata; Mammalia; Artiodactyla; Bovidae. The record is from RNAcentral.